UUUUUUUCUCCUGCUUACCUCUCUUCUUUCCUUUUUUUCUCUUCCAGCUUUUAUUUUUUUGCCAGCAAGCUCCAAAAGCCCAAGGUGGUUUAAUGCCAGCUUAAGUGCCUUUGAUUUGUUGUCUGAAGGCAGCUGGUGUGUAUCUUUGCCCUUGCAAGAUGAGAGAGAAGCAACAAAACAAAACCUGAGAAAGUGGACAAAGAGCAAGUGUCUCAGCUGGGAUACAGGAGACUCAGACCACAGAAGAAGCAGGAUGAAACCCUAGCCUGAGACUUGGGAGCUGAAGUUUGAGCUUCCUGCUUUUCCACAGAUAUAAACCCUGGUGUCUUUGGAGUGAGAUGGCCACCAGAUGGAACUUGAGAUCCUGAUGAUUUGAGGUGUUAAAAGUACUUUCACCAAAAGGCAGGAAACCUGUGUCCUGGAGGUGAGCUAUGCCUGGAUAAAGCCUCGAAACAAACUUAAUGCUUGUACUACC
Molecule: long non-coding RNA, 475 nt
Filed under: Cyanistes caeruleus (blue tit)
Lineage: Eukaryota; Metazoa; Chordata; Aves; Passeriformes; Paridae
Description: lncRNA (ENSCCEG00000015222.1)
Source: RNAcentral